Hymenopellis radicata is the source of this 94-nucleotide non-coding RNA. The record is from the annotation of a GenBank genome assembly. NCBI's taxonomy places the organism in Eukaryota, Fungi, Basidiomycota, Agaricomycetes, Agaricales, Physalacriaceae.
UCGGAUAUGGUGUAACGGCUAACAUUGCCGCCUCUCAUGCGCAUUUUGGUCAGGCUAAGCGCGGCAGCUCGGGGUUCGAUUCCCCGUAUCCGAA